UGCUACUUUCUGUCCAUGUGAGUUGUAUAACAAGCAGGCUAUCCAUCUUUCUAUUUGAUUUUGGUAUAGAAAUUUCAUACCAGUUUUAUGGAGAACUAACAUUUCAAAAGAAGGGAUGUACCACAGUUUUAGCAUAUGCAGAACAUCACCUUUAACAAAUAAUAAAGUAAUGUAAUCAAGUACUUGAAAUAUUUAGCCAUGACCUCAUCAUAAUCAGUGUGUGUACUGUAAAAUUGUAUGACGUAUAAGAUAAACCCUGCAUAUCGUGGAUUGUUUGUGAGAUUCUGAAAAGGCUUCAUCUGCUUGACUGUUUGGACU
This 318-nucleotide long non-coding RNA is filed under the name Hordeum vulgare. Its description in RNAcentral is "long non-coding RNA (HVUL_LNC016026)". Lineage: Eukaryota; Viridiplantae; Streptophyta; Magnoliopsida; Poales; Poaceae. The record is from RNAcentral.